This 89-nucleotide small RNA is filed under the name Ovis aries (sheep). Its description in RNAcentral is "7SK RNA (ENSOARG00000024200.1)". Lineage: Eukaryota; Metazoa; Chordata; Mammalia; Artiodactyla; Bovidae. The record is from RNAcentral.
CAAGGGUUUGUGGGUGCCUCUAAUUUUUUGCUAGACCCUUCAGACAAGUUCUCAAGAAUGACUUAUAGGAGAAAGUAGAGUUGUCAAGC